Molecule: non-coding RNA, 108 nt
Filed under: Hymenobacter sp.
Lineage: Bacteria; Pseudomonadati; Bacteroidota; Cytophagia; Cytophagales; Hymenobacteraceae
Description: SAM-I sequence
Rfam family: SAM riboswitch aptamer (S box leader)
About the family: The SAM riboswitch is found upstream of a number of genes which code for proteins involved in methionine or cysteine biosynthesis in Gram-positive bacteria. The SAM riboswitch acts at the level of transcription termination control.
Source: RNAcentral
CUGCUAUCCAGAAAGACCGAGGGACCGGGCCCGAUGACGUCUUGGCAACCUACCACGAGUAGGUGCCAACUCCCGUUUCACCGCGUUUUUGGUGGAAGAAGAUGACAG